UGGGGAAUAUUGCACAAUGGGCGCAAGCCUGAUGCAGCCAUGCCGCGUGUGUGAAGAAGGUCUUCGGGGUGUAAAGCACUUUCAGCGGGGAGGAAGGCGAUAAGGUUAAUAACCCCAUCGAUUGACGUUACCCGCAGAAGAAGCACCGGCUAACUCCGCGCCAGCAGCCGCGGUAAUACGGAGGGUGCAAGCGUUAAUCGGAAUUACUGGGCGUAAAGCGCACGCAGGCGGUCUGUCAAGUCGGAUGUGAAAUCCCCGGGCUCAACCUGGGAACUGCAUUCGAAACUGGCAGGCUAGAAUCUUGUAGAGGGGGGUAGAAUUCCAGGUGUAGCGGUGAAAGGCGUAGAGAUCUGGAGGAAUACCGGUGGCGAAGGCUGCCCCCUGGACAAAGACUGACGCUCAGGUGCGAAAGCGUGGGGAGCAAACGGG
This 429-nucleotide ribosomal RNA is filed under the name Chloroflexota bacterium. RNAcentral's name for it is "Chloroflexi bacterium partial 16S ribosomal RNA". It matches the Rfam family "Bacterial small subunit ribosomal RNA", at positions 355 to 776 of the family's 1533-position model. The record is from RNAcentral. Lineage: Bacteria; Bacillati; Chloroflexota.